This 2176-nucleotide long non-coding RNA is filed under the name Taeniopygia guttata (zebra finch). RNAcentral's name for it is "lncRNA (ENSTGUG00000021370.1)". Lineage: Eukaryota; Metazoa; Chordata; Aves; Passeriformes; Estrildidae. The record is from RNAcentral.
CCCGAAGCCGCGCAGCCGCGGGAGCGGCGGGAUGGAGCCGGGAGCGGUCGGAACGCAGAGACGGGUGGGGGGAAUGCCAGCAGUGACUGGGCUGUACUGGGAUCAUACUGGGAGCAGCUCCUGGGUAAAAACAAUGUAUUCCCCCAAGAUCUACCUAUCCAUCUUGUGAAUAAUGACAUGUUCUACCGCAGCCUACUCUUGGAAUGUAUUCUGAGAUAAGUUCCUACCUCUCCAGUAUUUUGUACUGCCCUUACCUAACAACUGUUUCUAACAACACACAGCCUAUGGCCUACUAAGAAUUCUAAGCCUUACCCGAACUACUUCUACUAAACUUUUGCUAGUCUGAAAUGCAACAAAUCCCCCCUUUUGAGCAUCCUUCAAUCUUCCAGUUGCAAGGAUGCUCAACCAGUAGUCUUCAGUCCGUCUUCUCGAUUUACUGAAGGGGAUAGAGGAGGCGUGGUACUCCUUGUCAUCGCGUUGAUCAGUCUCCAGGGAGUGACGGCGCCGAGGGAACAGUACGAGAAGGAGGUGCAAUUAAUAAGGACAAAUCCUCCUCUCAUCCAGAGGUUUUUACAGCACAUUUUACACAUACCUCCCUUGCCUUACACCCAGAACACUCAUCCUGAUUAUCUUCAACCUUUAAUACCAUAAUACCACACUCUUUUUGCCAUUCAGUUUUCUGUCCUAAAUAAUAAAACAAAUCCAAGUAGGGUAUCUCAUCCCAUUUCUCAUUUUCCCUAAGAUAUUGCAUUAAGGGGGUUAUCACCGAGGCAUCCAAUGUGCCGUUCAGGGGCCACUCCGGCCCCCCUUCAGAUGCAUAGGGGGGUCACCAAUGAUUACAAUAAUCCAGCAUUUUUCUUUUAUCCAAACCUGAUAAAACCCCGCACUUUUCCAUCGUCUCAGUAAGCAUCCUAAAGGAGUAUUCCCGGGCACCUUCCCAUUAGAUUGAACCAAUGCCUUAAAGGUCUUAAACGGCAUCAUCUAUGAUACGUAACGCACACACCACACUAUAAUUAAAAGUACCUUUAACAAAAUCAAAUACAAAGAAACUAUUAUUAGCUGCAACAAUACCGUGAAAAGAAGCAUUAACUAAACCAACCAACUUGCCACUACUCGACGCCGUGAGGGGCAAGUGCCGAGCCUGCGUAGCUUUCGCUUCGACUUACGGUCGGCGCCUAGGCUUUCCACCAAGACGUCUAUAUCCCAACCCGGCGAGGAUUACUGCCUUGUCUUAUGGGUAGGAAACCAAAACCAACAACAGAAAAUAAAGCACCUUCGGGCUUACCUUCCACAGUCGUCCGUCAGGCGCGGGGGUCGGGUGCAGACCGAUGACUCCCCGAGAAGUCCUCGGUGCCGGCGUGGAGUGGAUCAGAAUGCGAACCGCCCCAGCCACCCUCGGAGUCCUGCCGAGGUCGCCAGAAAACUGUUGCCCGUAAAGAGAACACAAAACAACCAAAGUCGUUUUAUGCGGUGCUUUAUUGAGGGCCCUGGGAGCCUGAGGACUAAUGUCCAAAGUCAGAGCCCGCCAAGCUAACAAAUCAUUGCGUUUAUAUAGAGUCUAUAUCAACGGUUGCUUAAUUUAACACAUAUUUGUCGACGUUACACUCCAACAAUCAUUUAUUUACAAAUUAAUCCUUGUUUAAAUUAAACAUUCUUUAUGAUCAUAAAUUCUCUUCACUCUGUUAGGUAAAAACAAUGUAUUCCCCCAAGAUCUACCUAUCCAUCUUGUAAAUAAUGACAUGUUCUACCGCAGCCUACUCUUGGAAUGUAUUCUGAGAUAAGUUCCUACCUCUCCAGUAUUCCGUACUGCCCUUACCUAACAACUGUUUCUAACAACACACAGCCUAUGGCCUACUAAGAAUUCUAAGCCUUAGCCGAACUACUUUUACUAAAUUUUUGUUAGUCUGAAAUGCAACAACGGUACAGCAGCUGCACCUGCACUGUUGUCUUCUCCAAGCCGGAACUGCAGUGGAGGAAGGGAGUUCCUUCUCGUGGCAAUCGGCAGGCUAAUGAGUGAGGGUCUUCAGACGGCCUCUUACACCCUGCCCCUGCCAUAUCCCCAUUGGCCGUGGUUCCUGUUUCCCCCCACCCCCUCCCCCCCAUUUUGGGGGUAUAACCGACCCCCAGCCGGUGCCCUGGUGUCUCGGGAAGAGGCACCCACAAUAAACUCAUGUCU